This is a long non-coding RNA of Oncorhynchus kisutch (coho salmon), 928 nucleotides long. RefSeq lists it as uncharacterized. NCBI's taxonomy places the organism in Eukaryota, Metazoa, Chordata, Actinopteri, Salmoniformes, Salmonidae. The record is from RefSeq and is a predicted model, not a curated record. The transcript has 2 exons.
GGGAGGCCCACGGGGGUAGCGGGAGGCCCACGGGGGUAGCGGGAGGCCCACGGGGGUAGCGGGAGGCCCACGGGGGUAGCGGGAGGCCCACGGGGGUAGCGGGAGGCCCACGGGGGUAGCGGGAGGCCCACGGGGGUAGCGGGAGGCCCACGGGGGUAGCGGGAGGCCCACGGGGUAGCGGGAGGCCCACGGGGUAGCGGGAGGCCCACGGGGGGCAGUGUCUGUCAGCCCUCCAGGUCUCGUUUGACCUCACAGGGGAACAGGACCGUGUCUGUCAGCCCUCCAGGUCUAGUUUGACCUCGCAGGGGAACAGGACCGUGUCUGUCAGCCCUCCAGGUCUAGUUUGACCUCGCAGGGGAACAGGACCGUGUCUGUCAGCCCUCCAGGUCUAGUUUGACCUCACAGGGGAACAGGACAGUGUCUGUCAGCCCUCCAGGUCUAGUUUGACCUCACAGGGGAACAGGACAGUGUCUGUCAGCCCUCCAGGUCUAGUUUGACCUCACAGGGGAACAGGACAGUGUCUGUCAGCCCUCCAGGUCUAGUUUGACCUCACAGGGGAACAGGACAGUGUCUGUCAGCCCUCCAGGUCUAGUUUGACCUCACAGGGGAACAGGACAGUGUCUGUCAGCCCUCCAGGUCUAGUUUGACCUCACAGGGGAACAGGACAGUGUCUGUCAGCCCUCCAGGUCUAGUUUGACCUCACAGGGGAACAGGACAGUGUCUGUCAGCCCUCCAGGUCUAGUUUGACCUCACAUCUCCCUGGUUAAAUGGAACUGGACUCGUCACUCGCUGCUUCUCAAUGUUUUAUGGAGUGUCUGUAUGUUAUUAUAUGAUCACAUUUUAAAACUACUUAUGUGUUGACCUCUAAAUACCCUGUGAACUAUUUUGAUUGAGAAAAAAUAAAAAUAAUAAAUAGAUUUAUGUCAAA